CUGCGGAGGGAUCAUUACACAAAUAUGAAGGCGGGCUGGAACCUCUCGGGGUUACAGCCUUGCUGAAUUAUUCACCCUUGUCUUUUGCGUACUUCUUGUUUCCUUGGUGGGUUCGCCCACCACUAGGACAAACAUAAACCUUUUGUAAUUGCAAUCAGCGUCAGUAACAAAUUAAUAAUUACAACUUUCAACAACGGAUCUCUUGGUUCUGGCAUCGAUGAAGAACGCAGCGAAAUGCGAUAAGUAGUGUGAAUUGCAGAAUUCAGUGAAUCAUCGAAUCUUUGAACGCACAUUGCGCCCUUUGGUAUUCCAAAGGGCAUGCCUGUUCGAGCGUCAUUUGUACCCUCAAGCUUUGCUUGGUGUUGGGCGUCUUGUCUCUAGCUUUGCUGGAGACUCGCCUUAAAGUAAUUGGCAGCCGGCCUACUGGUUUCGGAGCGCAGCACAAGUCGCACUCUCUAUCAGCAAAGGUCUAGCAUCCAUUAAGCCUUUUUUUCAACUUUUGACCUCGGAUCAGGUAGGGAUACCCGCUGAACUUAAGCAUAUCAUA
Molecule: ribosomal RNA, 547 nt
Filed under: Alternaria alternata
Lineage: Eukaryota; Fungi; Ascomycota; Dothideomycetes; Pleosporales; Pleosporaceae
Description: eukaryotic LSU rRNA
Rfam family: 5.8S ribosomal RNA (bases 183-336)
Source: RNAcentral